This 400-nucleotide ribosomal RNA is filed under the name uncultured bacterium. Its description in RNAcentral is "bacterial SSU rRNA". It matches the Rfam family "Bacterial small subunit ribosomal RNA", at positions 29 to 416 of the family's 1533-position model. The record is from RNAcentral.
AGCGAACGUUAGCGGCGGGCCUAACACAUGCAAGUCGAGCGAGAAAGUGGCUUCGGCCAUCAGUAAAGCGGCGGACGGGUGAGUAACACGUAGGUAAUCUUCCUUCGAGCGGGGGACAACGGUCCGAAAGGACCGCUAAUACCGCAUACGUUUCUCGGGACCUCGGUCCUGGGAAGGAAAGCUAGGUAGCAAUAUCCGGCACUCGAUGAGGAGCCUGCGUCGCAUCAGCUAGUUGGNGGGGUAAUGGCCCACCAAGGCGAAGACGCGUAGCUGGUCUGAGAGGAUGAUCAGCCACACUGGGACUGAGACACGGCCCAGACUCCUACGGGAGGCAGCAGUGGGGAAUAUUGGACAAUGGGCGCAAGCCUGAUCCAGCCACGCCGCGUGAGUGAUGAAGGCC